Molecule: ribosomal RNA, 151 nt
Filed under: Morganella morganii
Lineage: Bacteria; Pseudomonadati; Pseudomonadota; Gammaproteobacteria; Enterobacterales; Morganellaceae
Description: partial 23S ribosomal RNA
Rfam family: Bacterial large subunit ribosomal RNA (bases 1-133)
Source: RNAcentral
CUCGAGAUGAGUCUUCCCUGAUUCUUUAAGAAUCCUGAAGGAACGUUUGAGACUAAGACGUUGAUAGGCUGGGUGUGUAAGCGCAGCGAUGCGUUGAGCUGACCAGUACUAAUGAACCGUGAGGCUUAACCUGACAACACCGAAGGUGUUU